CAUUGAAAAAAAUUAAGACUGCAUAAAAUUGACACAGGUGGGUAGGUAGAGAAUACCUAGGGGCGCAAGACAACUCUCUCUAAGGAACUUGAAAAUAUAGCCCCAUAACUUCGGGAGAAGGGGUGCCUCCUCACAAAAGGGGUCGCAAUGACCAGGCCUGAGUGACUGUUUACCAAAAACACAAGUCUUCGUAAAGUCGUAAGACCAUGUAUGGGGGCUGACACCUACCCAUUAUCAAAAGGUCAAGGAAGUUGGUGACCUAAUGACAGAGGAGCCGGCGACUAAAGCCCCAGUGAACGGCGGUCGUAACUAUAAUAGUUCUAAGAUAGUGAAAUUCCUUGUAGGGUAAGUUCUGACCCGUAUGAAAGGCAUAACGAUUUGGGAUCUGUCUCAGAGAGAGGCUCGGUGAAAUAGACAUGUCUGUGAAGAUGUAGACCACCCGCACCCUGACAGAAAGACACUAUGAAGCUUCACUGUUCCCUAGGAUUAGCUUUGGGCUUUUCCUGUGCAGCUUAGGUGGAAGGAGAAAAAGGCCUUCUUCCGGGGGGCCCGAGCCAUUAGUGAGAUACCACUCUAGAAGAGCUAGAAUUCUAACCUUGUGUCAAGGCCUACGGGCCAAGGGACAAUCUCAAGUAGACAAUUUCUAUUAGGCGUAGGCCUCCCAAAAGGUAAUGGAGGCGUGCAAAGGUUUCCUCGGGCCGAACAAAGAUUGCCCCUCAAGUGCAAAGGCAGAAGGGAGCUUCACUGCAAGACCCACCCGUCUAGCAAGGACGAAAGUCAGCCUUAUUAAUCCAGAGGUACCGAGUGGAAAGGCCGUCACUCAACGGAUAAAAGUUACUCUAAGGAUAACAGGUUGAUCUUCCCCAAAAACUCACAUCGACAGGAAGGUUUGGCACCUCGAUGUCGGCUCAUCGCCACCUAGGCUAUAGUAUGUUCCAAGGGUUGAGUUGUUCGCCCAUUAAAGCGGUACGUGAGUUGGGUUCAGAACGUCGUGAGACAGUUCGAUCCAUAUUUGGUGCGGGCAUU
RNAcentral lists this non-coding RNA (1026 nucleotides) under Gossypium hirsutum (cotton). Its description in RNAcentral is "Archaeal large subunit ribosomal RNA". It matches the Rfam family "Bacterial large subunit ribosomal RNA", at positions 1624 to 2655 of the family's 2925-position model. Lineage: Eukaryota; Viridiplantae; Streptophyta; Magnoliopsida; Malvales; Malvaceae. The record is from Rfam by way of RNAcentral.